UACGGGAGGCAGCAGUGGGGAAUAUUGCACAAUGGGCGCAAGCCUGAUGCAGCCAUGCCGCGUGUAUGAAGAAGGCCUUCGGGUUGUAAAGUACUUUCAGUCGUGAGGAAGGUGUUAAGGUUAAUAACCUUAGCAAUUGACGUUAGCGACAGAAGAAGCACCGGCUAACUCCGUGCCAGCAGCCGCGGUAAUACGGAGGGUGCGAGCGUUAAUCGGAAUUACUGGGCGUAAAGGGCACGCAGGCGGUUAAUUAAGUUGGAUGUGAAAUCCCCGGGCUUAACCUGGGAAUGGCACUCAAGACUGGUUAGCUAGAGUCUUGUAGAGGGGGUAGAAUUCCAUGUGUAGCGGUGAAAUGCGUAGAGAUGUGGAGGAAUACCGGUGGCGAAGGCGGCCCCUGGGACAAAGGCUGACGCUCAUGUGCGAAAGCGUGGGGAGCAAACG
Molecule: ribosomal RNA, 441 nt
Filed under: uncultured bacterium
Lineage: Bacteria
Description: bacterial SSU rRNA
Rfam family: Bacterial small subunit ribosomal RNA
Source: RNAcentral